This 73-nucleotide transfer RNA is filed under the name Acidobacteriota bacterium. RNAcentral describes it as "tRNA-Cys". It matches the Rfam family "tRNA". From Rfam's summary of the family: Transfer RNA (tRNA) molecules are approximately 80 nucleotides in length. Their secondary structure includes four short double-helical elements and three loops (D, anti-codon, and T loops). Lineage: Bacteria; Pseudomonadati; Acidobacteriota. The record is from RNAcentral.
GCGGGUAAAGCCAAAUGGAUGAGGCGAAGGUCUGCAAAACCUUUAAGCGUCGGUUCGAUUCCGACUGCCCGCU